RNAcentral lists this long non-coding RNA (405 nucleotides) under Homo sapiens (human). RNAcentral describes it as "HSALNT0049189". Lineage: Eukaryota; Metazoa; Chordata; Mammalia; Primates; Hominidae. The record is from RNAcentral.
GGAGUCCUGAGAUGUGAGCCUGGGGCCUAUCUGAUGACCGUCCUGAGACCCCAGCCCCACAGCAGCCCCCAGCCCACCUGCCUUCCUCAGCCUGCAUGGAAGCUCCUCCAUUCCCUCCAGGCUUAAAUGGGAAGCCAUUUCCAGACAGGAAGUGGAGAAGGGGAAAGUCAGCCAUCCCAUCAGCCUUUUCUGGGCUCGUUUAAAAGGAGGCACGGUGGCAACUCAGCUUAUUAUGGAGACUCUUUACUGCAGCAAACACACUUGCUCUUUCUCUUCUAGUUUCCUCAUCUGUAAAAACAAUCACAAUUGUCCCCGACACAUCUCCACCGAGAGUUCCUGAAUGCCGUGGGAAUAGUGUGCUGUUAGGGGAAUUAUUCUGGUUUCCAGGGCGAUGUGUGUGCUGGG